RNAcentral lists this ribosomal RNA (1383 nucleotides) under Athetis lepigone. Its description in RNAcentral is "16S ribosomal RNA". Lineage: Eukaryota; Metazoa; Arthropoda; Insecta; Lepidoptera; Noctuidae. The record is from RNAcentral.
GGGGUAAAAUUAAUAAAUUAAUUUUAAUAAAAAAAUUUUUAAUAAAAUAUUUUAAAGGGGGGGGUUAAAGUAUAUUUAUAGAAAAAAUAAAUUAAUUUAUAGUUAAAUAGUAUUGUAAAAGAAUUUUGAAAUAAUUGAAAAUUAAAUUUUUUUAAAAGUAAUUUUUAUUUAAUGUAUCUUGGGUAUCAGAGUUUAUUAAAAAAAAUUAUUAAAUAAAAAAAUUCUCGAAUUUAAAAGAGAUAAUUAAUUAAUAAAGUUAUUGUAGCAUAAAUAUUUUAAAUAAUUAAUUGGAAAUGAAAUGUUAAUCGUUUUUAAAUAUAUCUAGUUUUUUUAGAAAAAAAUUUAAUUUUAUAUUAUUUAAAAAAAAAAUUAAUUAAUUAAUUUUUUUUUUAAAUAAUAAUAUAUUUUAAGGGAUAAGCUUUAAUUUAAAUUUAUAUAAAUAAAUUGAAAAAUUAAAUUGAAAAUUUUAUAAUUUAUAUUGUUAAAAAAAUUUAAUUUAUUAUAAAUAAUUUCAUUUAAAAUAAAAUUUAAUAAAAUUUUAUAUGGUUUAUAAAAAAAAAAUUUUUAAUAAAAUAAAAUUUGAUAUAAUGAUAAAAUUAGUAUAUAAUAAAAUAUAUAAAUGAAUAAUUUAGUAUAAAUAAUUAAUUAAAAGGAAUUCGGCAAAAAUUUAUAUUCACUUGUUUAUCAAAAACAUGUCUUUUUGAAAAUAAUAUAAAGUCUAAUCUGCCCACUGAUAUAAUAUUAAAGGGCUGCAGUAUAUUGACUGUACAAAGGUAGCAUAAUCAUUAGUCAUUUAAUUGAUGACUUGUAUGAAAGAUUGGAUGAAAUAUAAACUGUCUCUUAAUUAAAUAUAGAAUUUAAUUUUUAAAUUAAAAAGUUUAAAUAAUUUAAAAAGACGAGAAGACCCUAUAGAGUUUUAUAAAUUUAAUGAUUAAGAUUAUUUAUUAAAAAAAAAUUAAAAUUAAUAAAUUUAUUUUGUUGGGGUGACAAAAAAAUAUAAAAAACUUUUUUUAAAAUAAACCAUAUAUAAAUGAUUAAAUGAUCCAUUAUUAUUGAUUAUAAGAAAAAAUUACCUUAGGGAUAACAGCGUAAUUUUUUUUUUUAGUUCUUAUAAAAAGAAAAGUUUGCGACCUCGAUGUUGGAUUAAGAUAAAAUUUAAAUGCAGUAGUUUAAAAUUUUUGAUCUGUUCGAUCAUUAAAAUCUUACAUGAUCUGAGUUCAAACCGGUGUAAGCCAGGUUGGUUUCUAUCUUUUAAAAAAUAAAAUAUUUUAGUACGAAAGGAUUAAAUAUUUAAAUUAAAUUUUUUAUUUUGAAUUUUAUUAAAGAUAAUUUAUAAAUUUAUAAUAAAUAAAUUAAUAUAUAUAUAUAUAUAUAUAUAUAUUU